GUGGCUGUAGUUUAGUGGUGAGAAUUCCAUGUUGUGGUCGUGGAGACCUGGACUCGAAUCAAAGCAGCCACA
This 72-nucleotide transfer RNA is filed under the name Nicotiana attenuata. It matches the Rfam family "tRNA". From Rfam's summary of the family: Transfer RNA (tRNA) molecules are approximately 80 nucleotides in length. Lineage: Eukaryota; Viridiplantae; Streptophyta; Magnoliopsida; Solanales; Solanaceae. The record is from Rfam by way of RNAcentral.